UGAUAGUUCAGGAUGCUUCAGAGAGGGCGGCACUUAUACCUCGUGGUCUUUCUGAUGGCCAGUUUUAUUCCCCUCCUGAAUCUGAAGCAGGAUCUGAGGAAGAAGCUGAAGAGAAACAGGACGGUGAAAAACCACUUUUAGAGCUUUGAGCGCCACUUCUGUUAAAUGUGAAGAGCCUCCCUGAGAGUCAUCCCAGGGGAAGACGCCUGGCCAUGGGGACGCCC
Cynocephalus volans (Philippine flying lemur) is the source of this 224-nucleotide long non-coding RNA. RefSeq lists it as uncharacterized. The record is from RefSeq and is a predicted model, not a curated record. Lineage: Eukaryota; Metazoa; Chordata; Mammalia; Dermoptera; Cynocephalidae. The transcript is spliced from 3 exons.